GGGUCAGUAGGUUGGUCGUGCCACCGGUACGUACUGGUCUCACUGAUUCCUCCUUCCUGAAGAACCGUAAUGCCAUUAAUUUGGUGUUGCGGGGAAACAGGACUGUUACUUUGAAAAACUUAGAGUGUUUAAAGCAAGCUAACGCUUGAAUACAUUAGCAUGGAAUAAUGAAAUAGGACGAUCGAUCCUAUUUUGUUAGUUUCUAGGAUUGACGUA
Molecule: ribosomal RNA, 216 nt
Filed under: Glomeromycotina sp.
Lineage: Eukaryota; Fungi; Glomeromycota
Description: partial small subunit ribosomal RNA
Rfam family: Eukaryotic small subunit ribosomal RNA (bases 40-216)
Source: RNAcentral